UGAGUUGUCCAAUCAGUUUUCAAUUGAUACUGUUGGUAGUCAUGGAGCUGUUAAAUGUAAAGGCCUGAAAAUGGACUAUCAAGUUGGUGUCACUAUAGACCUGAGCAGUUUUAACAUUACUAGAAUUGUGACAUUUACCCCUUUUUAUAUGAUUAAAAACAAAAGCAAAUACCAUAUAUCAGUGGCUGAAGAAGGAAAUGAUAAAUGGCUCUCUCUUGAUUUGGAGCAGGUGGGUAGAUGAAUUUCAAAAAUAUACCUCUUUGGAUUGUAUUUUCUCCUUGAAGUUAGAUACCUAAAGUCACCAUGUAAUGUUUUAACUCUCCCCUUACUCCAAUUUUGUUUUAGUUUCCUGAAUCUUUAUUGAAUAUUUGUGCCCGGCUCUAGAUAGAU
RNAcentral lists this small RNA (390 nucleotides) under Pongo abelii (Sumatran orangutan). RNAcentral's name for it is "retained intron". The record is from RNAcentral. Lineage: Eukaryota; Metazoa; Chordata; Mammalia; Primates; Hominidae.